ACAAUAGACUACCCAGGUAGUCCACGCCCUAAACGAUGCGAACUGGAUGUUGGGUACAUUACGGUACUCAGUGUCGAAGCUAACGCGUUAAGUUCGCCGCCUGGGGAGUACGGUCGCAAGACUGAAACUCAAAGGAAUUGACGGGGGCCCGCACAAGCGGUGGAGUAUGUGGUUUAAUUCGAUGCAACGCGAAGAACCUUACCUGGCCUUGACAUCUGUCGAAUCCUGCAGAGAUGCGGGAGUGCCGCAAGGAACGACAAGACAGGUGCUGCAUGGCUGUCGUCAGCUCGUGUCGUGAGAUGUUGGGUUAAGUCCCGCAACGAGCGCAACCCUUGUCCCUAGUUGCCAGCACGUAAUGGUGGGAACUCUAGGGAGACUGCCGGUGACAAACCGGAGGAAGGUGGGGAUGACGUCAAGUCCUCAUGGCCCUUACGGCCAGGGCUACACACGUACUACAAUGGUCGGUACAGAGGGUUGCGAAGCCGCGAGGUGGAGCCAAUCCCAGAAAACCGAUCCCAGUCCGGAUCGGAGU
RNAcentral lists this ribosomal RNA (532 nucleotides) under uncultured bacterium. RNAcentral's name for it is "bacterial SSU rRNA". It matches the Rfam family "Bacterial small subunit ribosomal RNA", at positions 777 to 1304 of the family's 1533-position model. The record is from RNAcentral.